AUGCUGUGAAGCUUUAGAGGAGAAACUUGUGAGAUUACUGGAGUCUUGGGAGUAAAAUACAUGAUACCAGAUUAGAAGAUCAUGCCUUAAUGCCCACAUUGAUCCAGCCAAAGAGGAUUGUCGGAAGAAAAAGCCUUGUUGAAAAGCUUUGAGAGGAACCAGAAUCAGCCAAUCCUUCUCUGUGCUGUUCCUGAAGUUCUGUUCCUGACUGAAUUGCAGUGAGAAAGGUACAGUACACAAUUUUUUUAAUGUCAAACGUGAUGAGAAACAAGUAGGCUAAUGUUAAUAGUCAGAAAAAUUCUUCAGUA
Molecule: long non-coding RNA, 308 nt
Organism: Cyprinus carpio (common carp)
Lineage: Eukaryota; Metazoa; Chordata; Actinopteri; Cypriniformes; Cyprinidae
Source: Ensembl